CACUUGUAAAACACUUGCCAAAAUAGCCAUUACAGAAAAAAUGAUCCAUUAUGUAUAGGAAGCUUGUGCAGGGUGGUACUACUAUGGGAACUGGAUUGAAUUCCAAAAAAGGGUAUGAAUUUUUCUGGGUUUUAAGCAAUGUCGCUUUAUGGCUAUUUGUCAGUGUGAUUUGUUGUGGUAGUUAUGUACUCAUCAUUUCUUACAAUCUUCAUAUCUGGGAUAUUGUUUCUUCUUUUCUUUGCUUUUUUGAGUUUACAUUUACCUUGAUAUUUGUUAAGGUUGAUACAUUUGUACUUCUUGUAAUGUCUCCUUCAGCAUAUCUCUUGUAAAAAUUGCUACUGCAAUAGCUGAUUGAUUCAUUUUUCUUUUACUGGCAAGAAACCAAAUAUUUCAGUGUAAGAAAAUGGGCGUUAGUGGUAUUAUUACAUUAAAAUGAUUUUAUGUUUUAUUGAUCUUCUCUAUAAUAUGAUUUUACAGGUAGAAAUGGUGGCAUUGAUAGGAAGAAGAUCAUUGCCAUAGGUUUGUUUCUUACAAACGAGAUUGCCGAGCUUGUGGCCAUGUUGAUUCUGUUGCGAGUAUUGUCCACUACUUUCAUAAAAUUUGUGUAAUUUCUGUUGCUUAUGUAGGUAUGAAAAGCCUUGCUCUCAGUCUCUUUGUUUGAUUGAGACAAAGAACCCAAGUUUGGCAAUUGUUUCAAAGAAG
Molecule: long non-coding RNA, 702 nt
Organism: Magnolia sinica
Lineage: Eukaryota; Viridiplantae; Streptophyta; Magnoliopsida; Magnoliales; Magnoliaceae
Exons: 3
Source: RefSeq, a predicted model, not a curated record